RNAcentral lists this long non-coding RNA (2952 nucleotides) under Equus caballus (horse). RNAcentral describes it as "lncRNA (ENSECAG00000053011.1)". Lineage: Eukaryota; Metazoa; Chordata; Mammalia; Perissodactyla; Equidae. The record is from RNAcentral.
CUUGUUUUUGAAAAGUAUUAUGCCUGAGAUAGUUCAUAAAGAGUAUAAUGAAACAAAAAAAAGUAUUUUUUGAUGGCAGUUCAAAUGCCCCUCAUAGUCAGUACAAAGUGAUCUGGAAGAAAACCAAAAAACAAAUUCUGUAAAUCAUGCAUCUUUGUAAAAAGAGUGAUGGUUUCUCUGUUGCCUUGCAUUAUAUUUCAAAUUUUGGUGGAGCUACAUUAAUGGAUCAGAAGCUAUCGCAACCUUGGGCAAACCACUUAAAUUUGGGGGGCUUAGUUUCUUCUAAAUGAGGGGCGAAUACUUGUUCUAUGUACUUCAUAGUGUUGUUGAAAUGAAGCUGAAAGCAUUUGUAAACUGCAAAAUGCUAUAGCAAUGCUGGUGGCAUAUAUUAGUUCAUAUCAGUUUAGAAGAAAAUUGUUCAAUUGUUAAGUCUAUUCCUAUCUUAGCUACCAUAUUAGAUAAUACUACUUUACAUCAGGGGUAACAUGCUGGUGAGGUGAAAAUACUCCAAGAUUAAUUAAACAACAAAGUCCUUGAAACAUAUGUACAAAUUAAAAAUAUAUAUAUAAUGACUAUUAAGAAUGUAAUAGGAUGUCUGUGAAAAUUGUGAUUUACCAUUACAUUUCAAAUUUCUGAAGUCUAUGUAAACAAAAUUAUUUGAUCACAUUUUCCUCUGAAGUGGCCAAACUAUCAAAAGACCGUCUGAUAGAACUUUGUGAACCACCAAUGUUUGUGGACCAUAUUUGGAGGAAGAGAGCCCCAUAUCAAUGGACUGGGAUCUGUCCCCACCAUGGGCAUACACUGGAAAGGCCUCCUGACUGCCAUGAUUGUCAACUGGGUAACAAGGCUCUUCCCAGCCUGCCAGUCUAUCAUAUGGCAACUCCAAUGCUUCUGGUAACCCCUGGUUCAUCCUCUCUCCUUUAAGCAGGGUUGGAUGUCUUGAAUUGGCAGUAUAUAUUGUUAAUGAUCAUUCUAUGGGUGGAAAAAAUGAGAUGAAAGUCAAAGAUUUUCCCAAGGUCACAAAGCAAGCAUGAUUACCAUCUAAAUUUAACUUGAUUUUUAUACUUGGGUAUGGGAUGAUGUGUGUCGGGGGAAUGAACAGUUUUUCAUUUGUAAAUUCACAAAAAGUUCACUUUAUUGUAUACAUUCUUACUGUCUUGUUUUUUGAUUUAACUGUGGCUUUUACCAUAUGACACUGAAACUAGACAUCCGAGUCCAACUUAUCAUGUUUUAACCUCAUACAAAACUUCAAAAAAACGGUGGAAUGGAAACCCCCCAUUAGCAUGGUCUGAGGUUGAGAGUGAAAGGAAGAGUAAAGAGACCAUGAGUGAACAAGAGUGAGUGAACAGGAAUCAUCUGACAGACGGCUCCACCUCAGGGGAACUAGACAAGUGUUGACUCACUGACCUUCUUCUUGUCUGCUGACACCAUUAGCCUGCUGAGUUGUGAGUGUGCUAUGUUAAAUGACCUGGAUCCUUAAUAUGAAACAGUUCAUUUCAAUUGUUGCUUCUUUAGUUGUGUGUGGGAGGUACGUUGUCAUAAGCACAUAAGAACAACGGGGUAAAUGUUGAGGGGGAAGCUUCUGGAAGUAGAAACAUUCUGAUUCAAGAGUGCAGUUAAAAUGUUGUGGCAAUCUUACUUAGGAAAAAGGAAACCUGAGAAGAAUUACGCAAGUGAAAGGCUUCUUUGUUCCAGUUCCAAAUAUUUAUUGACAUCCAAGCCAGGUUGGAUGAUGCCCACUCACACUGGGGAGGACGAUCUGCUCUAGUGAGUCCACCGAUUCCAGUGCUAAUCUCCUCUGGCAACACCCUCACAGACACACCCAGAAAUGAUGUGUAAGCACAUAUCUGGGCAUCCUGUGAUCCCAUCAAGUUGACACACAAAGUUGACCAUCACAUCUCACUCAGCCUAGUCCUUGCCAAGUCCAUUCCCAGUAUACUCUAUCUCUGACCCCACUGCCCCUGGCUCUGCCCAAACAACCUACCUGGCUUCUUGUGACCUAGAGCAGGUGUUUCAAGCCUUUUCACGUCAAGGGACAUAGAGAAAAUGAAACAUUUUAUUACACCCAAGUGUUAACUGGAGGGAAUUGGGGUGUAUGCAUGGUGUCUAGUGAAAAAAAUAAUUGCUUUUCCUUUAAAUAAUUAUAACAAGAAAAUAAAAUGCUAGAUAUUUGGGAAGAUAUGAAAUUAUUAAUUUGGAUGAAACUUCCAAAUAAUGCUUCUUCAAUUUAUUUCACUUAUUGAUGUAUAACAUAUUCAAUAAAAUGUAAAGGUAGAUGUGAUGAAUGUUGCAUGUACACAUACACACAACCCUGUAAUCACCUCCCAAGUAGAGAUAUGGAACAUUGCGGUACCUCAAGAGUUUCCCUUUUGCCCUUCUUCUAGCUCAUAACCCUUAAGGGUCAAACACAAUUUUGACUUGUAUCUUCAUAGUUCAGUUUUAUUUAUAUUUGAAUGUCAUGUACCUGGAAUCAUAGAAUAUGUACUCUGUAACUGAUUUCUUUCAUUCGACAUCACGUCUAUGUGGUUAAUGAAUGAAAUGUAUUGGAGUCCACUUUUUAGUUGCUGUGUAAUACUCCGUUGAUGAACAUAACACAAUUCAUUUAUCCAUUCUGCUAUUGAUAACAUAAUGGUUGUGUCUAGUUUUUGGCUAUUGUAAGUAAAGCUGCUGUGAAUAUUCUUGAACAUUUCUUGGUGGACAUAAGAUCUCAUUUCUUUGAGAUAUACCCAGGAGGGAAUUAGACUCCUUUUGUUUGUUUGUUGGCUUGUUCUAUCAGUUGCUAAGAGCGAUAGUUAAAAUCUCCAACUUUGAGGAUUUAUCUCUCCCAGUAGUCUGUCACUUUUUGCUUUACAUAAUUUGAAGCUGAGAUAUUAACUGCAUACAAAUUUAAGAUUAAAAAAAUCUUUUUAUUGGAAUUAGUAUUUUCUUAAUAUGAAAGUUCCCUCUUUAUCC